GAUGAACGCUGGCGGCGUGCCUAAUACAUGCAAGUCGAGCGAACGGACGAGAAGCUUGCUUCUCUGAUGUUAGCGGCGGACGGGGGAGUAACACGUGGAUAACCUACCUAUAAGACUGGGAUAACUUCGGGAAACCGGAGCUAAUACCGGAUAAUAUUUUGAACCGCAUGGUUCAAAAGUGAAAGACGGUCUUGCUGUCACUUAUAGAUGGAUCCGCGCUGCAUUAGCUAGUUGGUAAGGUAACGGCUUACCAAGGCAACGAUGCAUAGCCGACCUGAGAGGGUGAUCGGCCACACUGGAACUGAGCCACGGUCCAGACUCCUACGGGAGGCAGCAGUAGGGAAUCUUCCGCAAAGGGCGAAAGCCUGACGGAGCAACGGCGCGUGAGUGAUGAAGGUCUUCGGAUCGUAAAACUCUGUUAUUAGGGAAGAACAUAUGUGUAAGUAACUGUGCACAUCUUGACGGUACCUAAUCAGAAAGCCACGGCUAACUACGUG
This 497-nucleotide ribosomal RNA is filed under the name uncultured bacterium. RNAcentral's name for it is "partial 16S ribosomal RNA". It matches the Rfam family "Bacterial small subunit ribosomal RNA", at positions 28 to 507 of the family's 1533-position model. The record is from RNAcentral.